This 433-nucleotide ribosomal RNA is filed under the name uncultured bacterium. RNAcentral's name for it is "partial 16S ribosomal RNA". It matches the Rfam family "Bacterial small subunit ribosomal RNA", at positions 29 to 507 of the family's 1533-position model. The record is from RNAcentral.
AACGAACGCUGGCGGCAUGCCUAACACAUGCAAGUCGAACGAAGCCUUCGGGCCUAGUGGCGCACGGGUGCGUAACGCGUGGGAAACUUCCCCUCGCUUCGUCAUCUCAGCUAGAAAUGACUGCUAAUACCGGACCAAGUCUGCGGACCAACGCUUCAUCGGAAAGGGCUGAGCCCGCGUAGGAAAAGGUAGCUGGGGGGGUAAAGGCAUACCAAGCCGACGAUCCUUAGCUGGUCUGAGAGGAUGGUCAGCCACACGGGGACUGAGACACGGCCCAAACCCAUACGGGAGGAAGGAGGGGGGGAUGGUGGAAGAUAGGCACAAGUUGGAGCCCACAAUCCGGGGUGAGUGAUGAGGGCCUGAGGGUUGAAAAGCUCUUUUACAAGGAAUGAUAAUGACAGUACCUGAGGAAUAAGCGCCGGCGAACCCCGUG